Molecule: long non-coding RNA, 286 nt
Filed under: Vigna radiata
Lineage: Eukaryota; Viridiplantae; Streptophyta; Magnoliopsida; Fabales; Fabaceae
Description: long non-coding RNA (VRAD_LNC017184)
Source: RNAcentral
GGCUAAGAAAGUCGCAUAACAAUUAAUUGAUCAAACUAAUAUUCAAGAGGAGUAGAUAAGAGAGGACGGAUUAGAUGAAAUUGUAAACCCCCAACAACAUCCAUUCAUCCAUUGUUUUCUUUUGUCAAUUGAAUCAACUUUAUUUUGUAUGUUAAUAUUUUUGUUCUCAAAUCCAAUUUAUUAAUUUUUAUUUUCAAGUCUUAUUAUUUUAAUUCACGUGAACGAGAAAGCCUUUCGAGUCUCUUGGGAAAACGAUACUUGGUCUUACCAUUUAUAUUACUUGUAC